Non-coding RNA from Cinara cedri, 568 nucleotides. The record is from the annotation of a GenBank genome assembly. Lineage: Eukaryota; Metazoa; Arthropoda; Insecta; Hemiptera; Aphididae.
UUACAGUGAGUUACAUUGUUUGUCCAUCGAAAACCUGUUUAAAUAGCCGAAAAUUCCUUCACAUUGCAUAAUAUGGAUAAUAGUGUUCGCAACUGUCAUUCAAUCGUUUACUGUUUUUUAAUUACUUGUCUUUACUACCUUGAUAAUCGAUCGGUAUCACCGAUUAAAAAUAUCAUUUUUUUUUUUUUUUUUUUUAAACUUAACUUUGGGGAAGAGGGAUAUUUGAUAAUAUCUAAUCCAAUUUAUAGGUAAUAGUCUUGAAAAGGUGGAGAACCACUGCUAUAUCGUUUUAAAACCGUUGAUAAAACAAUAAGCACGGACAUAGUUUUGAAAUAUUUAAAUAUUUAUGAAACGCUCAAUACAGACUCAAUUCAAAUUUUAAAAUAACAAAAAUAAUUGAAACUAAUUUCAUGUUAAUAUUUAAUUUUAUAGUAUCAGAUUUCAUCUGUACCUACAUUUUCAAGGUGCUUAAGGGGUGUUUUGUCUCUCUUGGAACACGCAUAGCGAAAGUCAACACAAUUAUUUAAGUUAUAUUUUGGUUUCAUGUACGUAUAAUAAUAAUUUAAUA